This 460-nucleotide ribosomal RNA is filed under the name uncultured Marinilabiliaceae bacterium. RNAcentral describes it as "bacterial SSU rRNA". It matches the Rfam family "Bacterial small subunit ribosomal RNA", at positions 923 to 1382 of the family's 1533-position model. Lineage: Bacteria; Pseudomonadati; Bacteroidota; Bacteroidia; Marinilabiliales; Marinilabiliaceae. The record is from RNAcentral.
GCACAAGCGGUGGAUGAUGUGGUUUAAUUCGACGCAACGCGAAGAACCUUACCAGGGCUUGACAUCCCCUGACCGCGUAUGAAAGUACGUUUUCACUUCGGGUGACAGGGAGACAGGUGGUGCAUGGUUGUCGUCAGCUCGUGCCGUGAGGUGUCGGGUUAAGUCCCAUAACGAGCGCAACCCCUAUCGUUAGUUGCCAGCAAGUAAAGUUGGGGACUCUAGCGAGACUGCCGGUGUAAACCGUGAGGAAGUGGGGAUGACGUCAAAUCAGCACGGCCCUUAUAUCCAGGGCUACACACGUGUUACAAUGGUCGGUACAAAGAGCAGCCACUUGGUGACAAGGCGCUAAUCUCAAAAGCCGAUCUCAGUUCGGAUCGAAGUCUGCAACUCGACUUCGUGAAGUUGGAUUCGCUAGUAAUCGCGCAUCAGCCAUGGCGCGGUGAAUACGUUCCCGGGCCUU